GCAGUCGAACGGGGGUGCUUAUGGAAGGGGUGCUUGCACUCUGGAAGUAACGAUCUUAGUGGCGGACGGGUGAGUAACGCGUGGGUAACCUGCCCCAUACCGGGGGAUACCACCUGGAAACAGGUGCUAAUACCGCAUAAGCGCACGGGAGCGCAUGCUCCUGUGUGAAAAACUCCGGUGGUAUGGGAUGGACCCGCGUCUGAUUAGCCAGUUGGCAGGGUAACGGCCUACCAAAGCGACGAUCAGUAGCCGGCCUGAGAGGGUGGACGGCCACAUUGGGACUGAGACACGGCCCAAACUCCUACGGGAGGCAGCAGUGGGGAAUAUUGCACAAUGGGGGAAACCCUGAUGCAGCGACGCCGCGUGAGUGAAGAAGUAUUUCGGUAUGUAAAGCUCUAUCAGCAGGAACGAGACAAGACGGUACCUGACUAAGAAGCCCCGGCUAACUACGUGCCAGCAGCCGCGGUAAUACGUAGGGGGCAAGCGUUAUCCGGAAUCACUGGGUGUAAAGGGAGCGUAGACGGCUGUGCAAGCCUGAAGUGAAAGGCGGGGGCCCAACCCCUGGACUGCUUUGGGAACUGUACGGCUGGAGUGCAGGAGAGGUAAGUGGAAUUCCUAGUGUAGCGGUGAAAUGCGUAGAUAUUAGGAGGAACACCAGUGGCGAAGGCGGCUUACUGGACUGUAACUGACGUUGAGGCUCGAAAGCGUGGGGAGCAAACAGGAUUAGAUACCCUGGUAGUCCACGCCGUAAACGAUGAUUACUAGGUGUCGGGGGGCAGAGGCCCUUCGGUGCCGCAGCAAACGCAAUAAGUAAUCCACCUGGGGAGUACGUCC
RNAcentral lists this ribosomal RNA (834 nucleotides) under uncultured bacterium. RNAcentral's name for it is "bacterial SSU rRNA". It matches the Rfam family "Bacterial small subunit ribosomal RNA", at positions 57 to 887 of the family's 1533-position model. The record is from RNAcentral.